Molecule: ribosomal RNA, 606 nt
Filed under: Trichoderma citrinoviride
Lineage: Eukaryota; Fungi; Ascomycota; Sordariomycetes; Hypocreales; Hypocreaceae
Description: eukaryotic LSU rRNA
Rfam family: 5.8S ribosomal RNA (bases 221-374)
Source: RNAcentral
UGGCUCGAGCUAACUCCCAACCCAAUGUGAACGUUACCAAUCUGUUGCCUCGGCGGGAUUCUCUGCCCCGGGCGCGUCGCAGCCCCGGAUCCCAUGGCGCCCGCCGGAGGACCAACUCAAACUCUUUUUUCUCUCCGUCGCGGCCUACGUCGCGGCUCUGUUUUAUUUUUGCUCUGAGCCUUUCUCGGCGACCCUAGCGGGCGUCUCGAAAAUGAAUCAAAACUUUCAACAACGGAUCUCUUGGUUCUGGCAUCGAUGAAGAACGCAGCGAAAUGCGAUAAGUAAUGUGAAUUGCAGAAUUCAGUGAAUCAUCGAAUCUUUGAACGCACAUUGCGCCCGCCAGUAUUCUGGCGGGCAUGCCUGUCCGAGCGUCAUUUCAACCCUCGAACCCCUCCGGGGGGUCGGCGUUGGGGAUCGGCCCCUCACCGGGCCGCCCCCGAAAUACAGUGGCGGUCUCGCCGCAGCCUCUCCUGCGCAGUAGUUUGCACACUCGCACCGGGAGCGCGGCGCGGCCACAGCCGUAAAACACCCCAAACUCUGAAAUGUUGACCUCGGAUCAGGUAGGAAUACCCGCUGAACUUAAGCAUAUCAAUAAGGCGAGAGGAA